GGCCAUCCACAAUCCAAUGGUGAAGGAAAGUAACAAACCGAACAAUCCUACAUGAUCCCAAGACCAGACUGAAUGAAGCUAAAGGCCUUUAGGUAAAAAAAUUAUAUCCGCUCUUAUGGGCAUAUCGGACAACUCUUCGUAUACCGAUAAGAGAAUCGCCAUUUAACCUGAUCUGUGGAAUGAAAGCGAUGAUUCCACUUGAGAUUGGAUUACCAUCAGUAAGAGUGGAACAAUAUAAUGAACCGAGCAAUUCAAAAUAUCAGAGAAUCAACUUAGACUUACUUUUGAAAGUCCGACAGCAAGU
This 304-nucleotide long non-coding RNA is filed under the name Elaeis guineensis (African oil palm). Its description in RNAcentral is "long non-coding RNA (EGUI_LNC029326)". Lineage: Eukaryota; Viridiplantae; Streptophyta; Magnoliopsida; Arecales; Arecaceae. The record is from RNAcentral.